RNAcentral lists this ribosomal RNA (400 nucleotides) under uncultured bacterium. RNAcentral's name for it is "bacterial SSU rRNA". It matches the Rfam family "Bacterial small subunit ribosomal RNA", at positions 355 to 752 of the family's 1533-position model. The record is from RNAcentral.
UAAGGAAUAUUGGUCAAUGGGCGGAAGCCUGAACCAGCCAUGCCGCGUGGAGGAUGAAGGUCCUCUGGAUUGUAAACUUCUUUUAUAGGGGGCGAAAAAAGGGAAUUCUUUCUCGUCUGACGGUACCCUAUGAAUAAGCACCGGCUAACUCCGUGCCAGCAGCCGCGGUAAUACGGAGGGUGCAAGCGUUAUCCGGAUUUACUGGGUUUAAAGGGAGCGUAGGCGGUUUUGUAAGUCCGUGGUGAAAGCCCUCAGCUCAACUGAGGAACUGCCAUGGAUACUAUGGAACUUGAAUAUCGUUGAGGUUUGCGGAAUGGGUCAUGUAGCGGUGAAAUGCAUAGAUAUGACCCGGAACACCAAUUGCGAAGGCAGCAGGCUAAACGAUGAUUGACGCUGAGGC